Molecule: long non-coding RNA, 460 nt
Filed under: Rosa chinensis
Lineage: Eukaryota; Viridiplantae; Streptophyta; Magnoliopsida; Rosales; Rosaceae
Description: sRNA RchiOBHm_Chr6g0283121
Source: RNAcentral
CGAGGCGAGUGCGGGACAUUAACUGUUCCCGGAGCUGCUUCCAACGCUUGUUGGGGACAUUAACUGUUCACGAACCGCUUACGUGGCGGAACCUGGUCGCCGAUCUCGUGCAUUUCGCCGUCGACUAUCCACGAUUCACCACUCCGACUUCUCCUCCGCCUUCCUCAUCGCCAGCGCCGGAGACCACGACCGCCGCCUCGGCGACCGCGCCUCCGUCCGCACUCGCCGGAGUUGGUUGCCGGCGGACUCCACACACCAAGGCAACGUCUUCGGUCUUUUUGCCAGGGAGAGCAUUCCGUAUUGUGACUGGGAGCCAAAGCUAAAAAGCAAGAGGACCCGAUUCCAGCGAACCGGGUCGGGUUAUAUUUUGGAAGACACCUGUCGAAAUCCUGGAGCUUACGAUUCAGGGAUUGCCACGGAGGAUCUCGAAGGUCGUGUAAGUUGAAAUCGGACGGUUAUA